GCCAGAGAGCAGCGAUUGGUCAGAGCAUAGAUAUCUAUAGAAGACAGCGCGCUAGCGUAUCUAGUCUAUGUAUAUCUAUGGUCGGCACGUCUGGUAGCAUCUGUGGCUGCUGUUGAUCUUGUUUUUGGAGUAAAACACGGUGGAAGCUGAAUUAGUGAGGAUGACUCCUGCUCCUGUCAUCUCUAAGCUCCUCACACAUCUUUACCUGCACAUGAGGAAAAUCACUCCUGUAGAAUGCAGAUGUUCAGAGGGAGAUGAUGCCACAUCUGGUCCAGCUGAUGGAAGGUCUUGAAGUUCUCUGACUGGCCUCGACUGAAGAUGGUCGUCUCACUGGAUUUAAGGUUCAGAUGCUCAGUAACAAACUCCAUCAAUGUGCCAACAGGGAAGCUUUAGGUUUAUUAAAUGUUGCUAUGAAGGUUUCGCUGUUUUUCUUUGUGAAUGCAAUGUGCUCCAACUGAAACUUGAAUUAGAACUUAGAAGUAAAUCCUUCCAUCUGCAUCAGCAGCUUUUCUAUCUCAGUUCAUUCUGACAUUCAGCUAUGAAUCAACACAGCAGAUGGUGAUCCAUGCUGUGGAAGUCUCACAUCUCCUGAUUUAAUGGAGCUGCUUUGCACUUUUUACACUGUUUAUUCACCAACACUUUAUUUAAUAAAAGUCCCAUCUAGUUUUUAUGAGGAAUGUGAUGUUUUAAUUUCUCUGUGAAUAACUGCAGUCUAAUGCAACAGCUGGAGUUGUAACAUCUGUCCUGAUAUUGAUCAUGAAGUAUUGAUCAGAAUACUUAUGGUGAGCAGUUAUCCCUUAAGUUUUACAUUAAAAUCUUUACUUGUGUUGUGAACUUUGGUAAGAAGCAGAAAUGUUAGCGUUGCCAUGGAUACAUGAGUGUUAAAUUCUGUCCAUGUUUCCAUUUUGGGAAAUUCAGUCCAGUUCCAGAAUGUGGAGGAAUUUAGUCUCACAAUCACAGACAACAAAUAUUAUCUGAAAGUUGGGUUAUUGUUGUUUAUCAGCACAAUACAAAAAGAUUAAUGUUAGAAAUAUUCCAGUUAAGUCUCUAGAAUAUCAUGAUUUAUGGAAAUUUACCUCAAUAAUAUGAAUGUUCAGGUCAAGAUUGUACAGUGAUAUUUAUUAUGUAAGUUUAGCUGAUUAAAGUUUAUGACUCUGCACUAAAAUAUUAUUUAAAUUGACAUCAUUAUUAUAAUAUUUAGGCUCAGACCCUACAGUAUUGAGAUUAAGAAAUCAAAUAUUCUAUAAAAUGUAAAUACACUGAACUCAUUUGGAUAUAUUUAAGUGAGACUCUACAAUAUUAUUUGACACAAAUCUAUCUAAAUCAAAAUUUUAAUAAUUUUCACACCAAACAUUUACUGGACUGAUUUAAAUAUUAAAAUCACUCCUUUCUAAUCCUCUGCUGUAUGUUCAAACCUGAGGCCUUAAAUAGAAACACACAAGUAUCUGUUUGAAGGAACUUCUGCAGAGUCCUGGUUCCAGAACAUGAUGAUAGAAUUAUAGACAAACUUUAACAAAAGCUGCCUGAGAGUUUACAGGUUUUUAUGUUGGAUUUCUUCAGUAAUUUAAUGAGAGUUAUCAGCAAUAUUCAAGUGUUCAUUUGAUGAACUUCAUUUCCUAAAACAUCCAGAAUUGAAGCUCAUAUCUUUGGCAGCUGUAAAGUUUCUGCUCCUUCAAAGUUCACAACACAAUGAAUUAAUUCCUAAAACACUCUCAAUGCUGGAGAGCGUUUGUGAUGCUGAAGCAGUGAUCAGUUUUUCUGUUUCUUCUCUGGAGAUGCACAAUGAGGGACGUCUGCAGAGACUGAGAAAGAGUCUCACCACAUCCUGACAUGAGGAAAAAGACUUUAUUGAAGACUACAAUGAGAAAAACUAUCAGACAGCAGACGGCUGCAUUCAAGUUUAGGCUGUUAGAUUGUUCCAGAUAAGACAAGUACAAGAUUCUUCAGAGCCGUUCUACCACGAGCCUGACAGGAAGAACUCCAACAGCUACUGAAUGUUCCUGUGGUUCCCUCAAGGCUACAGGAGGAGUCCUACGAGGACGAGCCGGUCCACCUGAUGGCGGCCAGUCGCUGCAGUUCAAAGCCAACACCGACUACGUGGACUUCUACUGGACCACACGGAGGCCUUCAAACUGGACCAACAAGUUCAGCGACUCCCCGACUCGUGGGUCUGAGGACGCUGCCGAGCCUCGGCUCAGCCGGCCUCCUGUCUGUGGGUGUUUGAGUGCUGAGAGGUUUGUGGAUGCAUGUGAACGUGUCUGUGUUGAAACAGCAGCUUUGGACUCACUAACGCUGGGAAAAACCAAGAGCUCCUUUAUUUGUGACUUCCACUAAAAAGCUGAAGAAAAUAAGUUUGCCAGGG
Molecule: long non-coding RNA, 2362 nt
Organism: Amphiprion ocellaris (clown anemonefish)
Lineage: Eukaryota; Metazoa; Chordata; Actinopteri; Pomacentridae
Source: Ensembl